This 415-nucleotide long non-coding RNA is filed under the name Apteryx owenii (little spotted kiwi). RNAcentral describes it as "lncRNA (ENSAOWG00000006529.1)". The record is from RNAcentral. Lineage: Eukaryota; Metazoa; Chordata; Aves; Apterygiformes; Apterygidae.
GCAUAGGGCUAGCAGAGCUGUCGUUAAGCUCAUCCUGUCCUUUCCAGGGCAAGCGGAUAGUCAGUGAGAAACGCACUGAGUGCUUCACUGGUCCAGGCAGGGUGCCAGAGCUGAGCGAAGAAGAGACGAAUCACUUGGUGGCUUUCCGCCGGGGGAGACGGAUGCAGAUCGCCAUCACCAUGGAUAACAAGGAAAAAGCGGAGGAGAGGAGAACGGCAGAGAAGAGGAGAUCAGAGAGCGACAGGGGUCCAGAAAGCGAUCACGGCCGGAAGGAGGGUGGGAAGUCAGCCCAGAAAAGCCCUGGAGACCUGAGUUUCCCCAUGACCGGACGGGAGCGCUCAGAGUAUAUACGCUGGAAGAGGGAGCGAGAUCAGAUCGACCUGGAGCGACUGGCACGUCACAAGAACGCGAAGGG